RNAcentral lists this transfer RNA (86 nucleotides) under Candidatus Rokuibacteriota bacterium. Its description in RNAcentral is "tRNA-Ser". It matches the Rfam family "tRNA". Rfam says of the family: Transfer RNA (tRNA) molecules are approximately 80 nucleotides in length. Their secondary structure includes four short double-helical elements and three loops (D, anti-codon, and T loops). Further hydrogen bonds mediate the characteristic L-shaped molecular structure. tRNAs have two regions of fundamental functional importance: the anti-codon, which is responsible for specific mRNA codon recognition, and the 3' end, to which the tRNAs corresponding amino acid is attached (by aminoacyl-tRNA synthetases). tRNAs cope with the degeneracy of the genetic code in two manners: having more than one tRNA (with a specific anti-codon) for a particular amino acid; and 'wobble' base-pairing, i.e. permitting non-standard base-pairing at the 3rd anti-codon position. Lineage: Bacteria; Candidatus Rokuibacteriota. The record is from RNAcentral.
GGAGGGGUGGCCGAGCGGCCGAAGGCGCCGGUCUUGAAAACCGGAAGGCGCAAGCCUCGGGGGUUCGAAUCCCUCCCCCUCCGCCA